GGCCGGUUAGCUCAGCUGGUUAGAGCGUGGUGCUAAUAACGCCAAGGUCGUCGGUUCGAUCCCGGCAUUGGCCA
This 74-nucleotide transfer RNA is filed under the name Fomitopsis schrenkii. RNAcentral's name for it is "tRNA-Ile (AAT) (tRNA-Ile-AAT-2-1)". It matches the Rfam family "tRNA". From Rfam's summary of the family: Transfer RNA (tRNA) molecules are approximately 80 nucleotides in length. Their secondary structure includes four short double-helical elements and three loops (D, anti-codon, and T loops). The record is from RNAcentral. Lineage: Eukaryota; Fungi; Basidiomycota; Agaricomycetes; Polyporales; Fomitopsidaceae.